This 435-nucleotide ribosomal RNA is filed under the name uncultured soil bacterium. RNAcentral's name for it is "bacterial SSU rRNA". It matches the Rfam family "Bacterial small subunit ribosomal RNA", at positions 26 to 445 of the family's 1533-position model. The record is from RNAcentral.
AGAUUGAACGCUGGCGGCAGGCCUAACACAUGCAAGUCGAGCGGUAGAGAGGUGCUUGCAUCUCUUGGGAGCGGCGGACGGGUGAGUAAUGCCUAGGAAUCUGCCUAGUGGUGGGGGAUAACGUUCGGAAACGGACGCUAAUACCGCAUACGUCCUACGGGAGAAAGCGGGGGACCUUCGGGCCUCGCGCCAUUAGAUGAGCCUAGGUCGGAUUAGCUAGUUGGUGAGGUAAUGGCUCACCAAGGCGACGAUCCGUAACUGGUCUGAGAGGAUGACCAGUCACACUAGGAACUGAGCAAAAACGGUCCACGACUCCUACGGGAGGCAGCAGGUAGGGGGAAUAGUUGGAACAAGUGGGACGGAAAGCCUAGAUACCAGCCAUGCCGCGUGUGUAGAAGAAGGUCUUCGGAUUAGGUAAAGUACUACUUUAAGGUU